RNAcentral lists this transfer RNA (72 nucleotides) under Camelus bactrianus (Bactrian camel). It matches the Rfam family "tRNA". From Rfam's summary of the family: Transfer RNA (tRNA) molecules are approximately 80 nucleotides in length. Their secondary structure includes four short double-helical elements and three loops (D, anti-codon, and T loops). Lineage: Eukaryota; Metazoa; Chordata; Mammalia; Artiodactyla; Camelidae. RNAcentral also lists the same sequence under 2 other names. The record is from Rfam by way of RNAcentral.
GAGGGCGUAGCUCAGUGGUAGAGUGUGUGCUUAGCAUGCACGAGGUCCUGGGUUCAGUCCCCAGUCCCUCCA